CUGCGAAUGGCUCAUUAUAUAAGUUAUCGUUUAUUUGAUAGUACCUUACUACUUGGAUAACCGUGGUAAUUCUAGAGCUAAUACAUGCUAAAAAUCCCGACUUCGGAAGGGAUGUAUUUAUUAGAUUAAAAACCAAUGCCCUCUGGGCUCUUUGGUGAUUCAUGAUAACUUCUCGAAUCGCACGGCCUUGCGCCGGCGAUGGUUCAUUCAAAUUUCUUCCCUAUCAACUUUCGAUGUUUGGGUAUUGGCCAAACAUGGUUGCAACGGGUAACGGAGGGUUAGGGCUCGACCCCGGAGAAGGAGCCUGAGAAACGGCUACUACAUCCAAGGAAGGCAGCAGGCGCGCAAAUUACCCAAUCCCGACACGGGGAGGUAGUGACAAUAAAUACUGAUACAGGGCUCUUUUGGGUCUUGUAAUUGGAAUGAGUACAAUUUAAAUCCCUUAACGAGGAACAAUUGGAGGGCAAGUCUGGUGCCAGCAGCCGCGGUAAUUCCAGCUCCAAUAGCGUAUAUUAAAGUUGUUGUGGUUAAAAAGCUCGUAGUUGAACCUUGGGCCUGGCUGGCCGGUCCGCCUCACCGCGUGUACUGGUCCGGCCGGGCCUUUCCCUCUGUGGAACCUCAUGCCCUUCACUGGGUGUGACGGGGAAACAGGACUUUUACUUUGAAAAAAUUAGAGUGCUCCAGGCAGGCCUAUGCUCGAAUACAUUAGCAUGGAAUAAUGAAAUAGGACGUGUGGUUCUAUUUUGUUGGUUUCUAGGACCGCCGUAAUGAUUAAUAGGGACAGUCGGGGGCAUCAGUAUUCAAUUGUCAGAGGUGAAAUUCUUGGAUUUAUUGAAGACUAACUACUGCGAAAGCAUUUGCCAAGGAUGUUUUCAUUAAUCAGGAACGAAAGUUAGGGGAUCGAAGACGAUCAGAUACCGUCGUAGUCUUAACCAUAAACUAUGCCGACUAGGGAUCGGACGAUGUUAUUUUUGACGCGUUCGGCACCUUACGAGAAAUCAAAGUGC
Molecule: ribosomal RNA, 1007 nt
Filed under: Lecanicillium coprophilum
Lineage: Eukaryota; Fungi; Ascomycota; Sordariomycetes; Hypocreales; Cordycipitaceae
Description: SSU rRNA
Rfam family: Eukaryotic small subunit ribosomal RNA
Source: RNAcentral